RNAcentral lists this ribosomal RNA (301 nucleotides) under uncultured bacterium. RNAcentral's name for it is "partial 16S ribosomal RNA". It matches the Rfam family "Bacterial small subunit ribosomal RNA", at positions 509 to 807 of the family's 1533-position model. The record is from RNAcentral.
CAGUCGCCGCGGGAAUACGUAGGGUGCGAGCGUUAAUCGGAAUUACUGGGCGUAAAGCGUGCGCAGGCGGUUUUGUAAGACAGGCGUGAAAUCCCCGGGCUCAACCUGGGAAUGGCGCUUGUGACUGCAAAGCUAGAGUGCGGCAGAGGGGGAUGGAAUUCCGCGUGUAGCAGUGAAAUACGUAGAUAUGCGGAGGAACACCGAUGGCGAAGGCAAUCCCCUGGGCCUGCACUGACGCUCAUGCACGAAAGCGUGGGGAGCGAACAGGAUUAGAUACCCCUGUAGUCCCUGUCUCUUAUAC